This 403-nucleotide ribosomal RNA is filed under the name Verrucomicrobiota bacterium. RNAcentral's name for it is "Verrucomicrobia bacterium partial 16S ribosomal RNA". It matches the Rfam family "Bacterial small subunit ribosomal RNA", at positions 355 to 776 of the family's 1533-position model. Lineage: Bacteria; Pseudomonadati; Verrucomicrobiota. The record is from RNAcentral.
UGGGGAAUAUUGCACAAUGGGCGCAAGCCUGAUGCAGCAACGCCGCGUGAACGAUGAAGGUCUUCGGAUCGUAAAGUUCUGUUGCAGGGGAAGAUAAUGACGGUACCCUGUGAGGAAGCCCCGGCUAACUACGUGCCAGCAGCCGCGGUAAUACGUAGGGGGCUAGCGUUAUCCGGAUUUACUGGGCGUAAAGGGUGCGUAGGUGGUCUUUCAAGUCGGUGGUUAAAGGCUACGGCUCAACCGUAGUUAGCCUCCGAAACUGGAAGACUUGAGUGCAGGAGAGGAAAGUGGAAUUCCCAGUGUAGCGGCGAAAUGCGUAGAUAUUGGGAGGAACACCAGUAGCGAAGGCGGCUUUCUGGACUGCAACUGACACUGAGGCACGAAAGCGUGGGUAGCAAACAGG